Molecule: long non-coding RNA, 659 nt
Organism: Salvelinus namaycush (lake trout)
Lineage: Eukaryota; Metazoa; Chordata; Actinopteri; Salmoniformes; Salmonidae
Exons: 3
Source: RefSeq, a predicted model, not a curated record
AGCUAGCUAAAUAAAGAAGCUGAGGUUAGGCCCAGCGAAUCCCCGUUCUAUUUUAGACUGUCUCCCCCGUGGCGCGAUACCAACCUGGGCUGCCAAUCAUUCCAGUUUCGCUGCAGUUUGUGGGCGCUGCUAAGCCGAAACCCAAGGGCUUUACGGCUCAUUACCUUUGCGAGAACAGCAUGACCUGCUCUCAACGGGAUAAAAUUCCGUGAACAAGCGUAUUUGCUCGCUAUCUGUUUAUUUUAUGUCCAUUAAUGGACCCGCUACAGCUAUCGGUGUGCGUUAUGUUUUGUGUCGGGUCGGCCUCCUUUCUUUUUUUUCUCUCCUUUAUUUUUUGUCUCCCACUCCUUCUUCGAUUCUUGAUGAAAGAGCCACUGGCCCCUUCGCUUUAUAACAGCGCCACCUGCCGGACUUUAGAACGACGAAGCAAGAGCUGUGACUGCAACAGCUAGUUUAAUUUUUUGCACAUCACUUGGAAUAUGCGUUGCUAAGCGACAGCAUCAGGAGUGGGAGUGAGGAGAGAGCAUGCAUGCAGCAACAGAGGAUGCAAGGUGUCACCCAUCUUCCCCACUUAUCCUCUGAGUAUUUAUACUGGUGUUUUCUGUCUGUCUGUGCCAGUUCGUCUUGUUUGUCUCAACUACUGUUUUUCCCCAGUCUCU